RNAcentral lists this ribosomal RNA (379 nucleotides) under uncultured eukaryote. Its description in RNAcentral is "partial 18S ribosomal RNA". It matches the Rfam family "Eukaryotic small subunit ribosomal RNA", at positions 592 to 975 of the family's 1831-position model. The record is from RNAcentral.
CAAUAGCGUAUAUUAAAGUUGUUGCGGUUAAAAAGCUCGUAGUUGGAUUUCUGCUGAGAACGACCGGUCCGCCCUCUGGGUGUGUAUCUGGCUCUUUCUUGGCAUCUUCUUGGUGAACGUUGCUGCACUUGACUGUGUGGAGCGCUACCCAGGACUUUUACUUUGAGGAAAUUAGAGUGUUUCAAGCAGGCAUACGCCUUGAAUACAUUAGCAUGGAAUAAUAAGAUAGGACCUCGGUUCUAUUUUGUUGGUUUCUAGAGCUGAGGUAAUGAUUAAUAGGGAUAGUUGGGGGCAUUCGUAUUUAACUGUCAGAGGUGAAAUUCUUGUAUUUGUUAAAGACGGACUACUGCGAANGNAUUUGCNAAGGAUGUUUNCAUUG